GAUGAACGCUGGCGGCGUGCCUAAUACAUGCAAGUCGAGCGAACGGACGAGAAGCUUGCUUCUCUGAUGUUAGCGGCGGACGGGUGAGUAACACGUGGAUAACCUACCUAUAAGACUGGGAUAACUUCGGGAAACCGGAGCUAAUACCGGAUAAUAUUCUGAGCCGCAUGGUUCAAAAGUGAAAGACGGUCUUGCUGUCACUUAUAGAUGGAUCCGCGCUGCAUUAGCUAGUUGGUAAGGUAACGGCUUACCAAGGCAACGAUGCAUAGCCGACCUGAGAGGGUGAUCGGCCACACUGGAACUGAGACACGGUCCAGACUCCUACGGGAGGCAGCAGUAGGGAAUCUUCCGCAAUGGGCGAAAGCCUGACGGAGCAACGCCGCGUGAGUGAUGAAGGUCUUCGGAUCGUAAAACUCUGUUAUUAGGGAAGAACAUAUGUGUAAGUAACUGUGCACAUCUUGACGGUACCUAAUCAGAAAGCCACGGCUAACUACGUGCCAGCAGCCGCGGUAAUACGUAGGUGGCAAGCGUUAUCCGGAAUUAUUGGGCGUAAAGCGCGCGUAGGCGGGUUUUUAAGUCUGAUGUGAAAGCCCACGGCUCAACCGUGGAGGGUCAUUGGAAACUGGAAAACUUGAGUGCAGAAGAGGAAAGUGGAAUUCCAUGUGUAGCGGCGAAAUGCGCAGAGAUAUGGAGGAACACCAGUGGCGAAGGCGACUUUCUGGUCUGUAACUGACGCUGAUGUGCGAAAGCGUGGGGAUCAAACAGGAUUAGAUACCCUGGUAGUCCACGCCGUAAACGAUGAGUGCUAAGUGUUAGGGGGUUUCCGCCCCUUAGUGCUGCAGCUAACGCAUUAAGCACUCCGCCUGGGGAGUACGACCGCAAGGUUGAAACUCAAAGGAAUUGACGGGGACCCGCACAAGCGGUGGAGCAUGUGGUUUAAUUCGAAGCAACGCGAAGAACCUUACCAAAUCUUGACAUCCUUUGACAACUCUAGAGAUAGAGCCUUCCCCUUCGGGGGACAAAGUGACAGGUGGUGCAUGGUUGUCGUCAGCUCGUGUCGUGAGAUGUUGGGUUAAGUCCCGCAACGAGCGCAACCCUUAAGCUUAGUUGCCAUCAUUAAGUUGGGCACUCUAAGUUGACUGCCGGUGACAAACCGGAGGAAGGUGGGGAUGACGUCAAAUCAUCAUGCCCCUUAUGAUUUGGGCUACACACGUGCUACAAUGGACAAUACAAAGGGCAGCGAAACCGCGAGGUCAAGCAAAUCCCAUAAAGUUGUUCUCAGUUCGGAUUGUAGUCUGCAACUCGACUACAUGAAGCUGGAAUCGCUAGUAAUCGUAGAUCAGCAUGCUACGGUGAAUACGUUCCCGGGUCU
Molecule: ribosomal RNA, 1372 nt
Filed under: uncultured bacterium
Lineage: Bacteria
Description: bacterial SSU rRNA
Rfam family: Bacterial small subunit ribosomal RNA
Source: RNAcentral